AAAAAAUCAAUUACUAACUUUUAAAUUUUAUAAAAUUUUGUAAUCGAUUUUAAUUAAUGUGUUAGGCUAUAGCAUAAGAUUUUAUUGUCGGAAGGUUUUAUAUAGUAUAUUUAUUUAUAAAAAUUAAUUACUUAGUAGAUAUAGGUUUAAUUGAUGUAAUUAUCAUAAAGGACUUAUGUAUCCCAAGCUAAUGUUGUGCCAGCGGCUGCGGUUAUACAAUUUGGAGUGUGAAAUGGGGUGGUAAAAUAAAAUAUUGUAGAUAAUAAAAAUAAUCGGUUGAUUAAAUUUAUGGCCUAAAGGUAGAAUUGUUUUGGCUUAUGUAGAGUGUUUAUAUUUUUUAUGGCAGAAAUUUUUAAUUAAAUAAAAUAAACUAGGAUUAGAUACCCUACUAUUUUUUAGUAAUAAAAUUUACCGUAGGAUUAGAAAGAAAUUAAAUUAAAAUAGGUUGGCGGCGUGCUGUCUGAUUAGAGGAACUUGAGCAGGAGUCGACAGCCCUCGAGCAGCUUAUCUGAUUUUAGGUUUGUAUAUCUCCGUCGUAUGUGGAUUUUAAGAAAAUAUUUUCUGAAAAUUAGAAUAAAUUUUAUGACAGGUCACGGUGCAGCGUAUGAUCAGGUUGUUUUGAGUUACAAUUUUAGAAGAAAUUACGGAUUUUGCUUUGGAAAAAGUGCAUGAAGGUGGAUUUAUAAGUAGCAGUGAGUUUUUAUGUGGGGCUGUGAGUAAGGAAUAGUAUGUGUACAUAUCGCCCGUCGUUCUCAUUAGAGACAAGUCGUAACAUAGUUGGUUAAUUGGAAAAUUAGCCUUUGUGUAU
Molecule: ribosomal RNA, 808 nt
Filed under: Polydesmus sp. GZCS-2019
Lineage: Eukaryota; Metazoa; Arthropoda; Diplopoda; Polydesmida; Polydesmidae
Description: small subunit ribosomal RNA
Source: RNAcentral